Long non-coding RNA from Amblyraja radiata (thorny skate), 103 nucleotides. RefSeq lists it as uncharacterized. Lineage: Eukaryota; Metazoa; Chordata; Chondrichthyes; Rajiformes; Rajidae. The record is from RefSeq and is a predicted model, not a curated record. The transcript is spliced from 3 exons.
UAUAUAUAUGUACAGUACUUACAGCGCCCUCCAUAUUGUUUCGGACAGACGCAUCAUUUAUUUAUUUGCCUCUGUACUCCACAAUUUGAGAUUUGUAACAGAA